GAACGCUGGCGGCAUGCUUUACACAUGCAAGUCGAACGGUAACAGGUCUUCGGAUGCUGACGAGUGGCGAACGGGUGAGUAAUGCAUCGGAACGUGCCCAGUCGUGGGGGAUAACGCAGCGAAAGCUGUGCUAAUACCGCAUACGAUCUAUGGAUGAAAGCGGGGGACCUUAGGGCCUCGCGCGAUUGGAGCGGCCGAUGUCAGAUUAGCUAGUUGGUGGGGUAAAGGCCUACCAAGGCGACGAUCUGUAGCGGGUCUGAGAGGAUGAUCCGCCACACUGGGACUGAGACACGGCCCAGACUCCUACGGGAGGCAGCAGUGGGGAAUUUUGGACAAUGGGCGCAAGCCUGAUCCAGCAAUGCCGCGUGCAGGAAGAAGGCCUUCGGGUUGUAAACUGCUUUUGUACGGAGCGAAAAGGCCCUCUCUAAUACAGGGGGUUCAUGACGGUACCGUAAGAAUAAGCACCGGCUAACUACGUG
RNAcentral lists this ribosomal RNA (479 nucleotides) under uncultured bacterium. Its description in RNAcentral is "bacterial SSU rRNA". It matches the Rfam family "Bacterial small subunit ribosomal RNA", at positions 31 to 507 of the family's 1533-position model. The record is from RNAcentral.